AAUUCUUUUUGAAAGCUGCCUGCGGCAAAGGGGGCAUGUGUCCAUUUCGCCACAUCAGCGGUGAGAAGACAGUUGUGUGCAAACACUGGCUGCGUGGCCUAUGCAAGAAAGGGGACCAGUGUGAGUUCCUGCAUGAGUAUGACAUGACCAAGAUGCCCGAGUGCUACUUCUACUCCAAGUUCGGGGAGUGCAGCAACAAGGAAUGUCCCUUCCUGCACAUCGACCCCGAGUCCAAGAUCAAGGACUGUCCUUGGUAUGACCGCGGCUUCUGCAAGCAUGGUCCCCUCUGCAGGCACCGGCACACACGGAGAGUCAUCUGUGUGAAUUACCUCGUGGGAUUCUGCCCGGAGGGGCCCUCAUGUAAAUUCAUGCACCCUCGAUUUGAACUGCCCAUGGGAACCACCGAGCAGCCCCCACUGCCGCAGCAGACACAGCCUCCAGCAAAGGCUGCUAAACAUCUGGCUGAACCAAGCGUUCAUCCUGACCUGAAGCCAGAACCUCAGAAACCAAACAAAGUAACAAUCCGCCAUUACAAAGGUCGUCCUCCUUGAUCCAGUUAACGAGUCAGA
Molecule: small RNA, 569 nt
Filed under: Pongo abelii (Sumatran orangutan)
Lineage: Eukaryota; Metazoa; Chordata; Mammalia; Primates; Hominidae
Description: processed transcript
Source: RNAcentral